UUCAGCCAGAGGUGAGUGGAAUAAACUCUUUAUGUUUUAAAGUAAAUAAAUUAAUUCUUAGCAUGAUUCACGCAUCAUGAAUGCCAUGAGAUAUAUUAGGUUGUUUGCAUUAGAAUUCACGAAUAUGUUGCAUUGCAUAAUAUGUUGAUGAUGUGGAUGAAUGCUGAAUGAUCCUUUAGCCCUCCCAUGAUAUGAUAUGGUAUGAUAUGAUACGGUACGGAAGACCAGUGAGGCCCAUUCUACGCCCCUGGCACUAUGUGAGAGAAAGACCAGCGAGGCCCAUUCUACGCCCCUGGCACAGUUGGAAUGUUAUGUUAUGAUAUGUUAUGUAAGAGAAAGACCAGUGAGGCCCAUUCUACGCCCCUGGCACAGUUGGACCACUUAGAGGGCUAUGGGUGACAAAUUCAUCCUUGAUGUGAUUAGUUGUGAUGUGAUGCAUU
This 440-nucleotide long non-coding RNA is filed under the name Manihot esculenta (cassava). Its description in RNAcentral is "long non-coding RNA (MESC_LNC012592)". Lineage: Eukaryota; Viridiplantae; Streptophyta; Magnoliopsida; Malpighiales; Euphorbiaceae. The record is from RNAcentral.